UACGUAGGGUGCGAGCGUUGCCCGGAUUUAUUGGGCGUAAAGGGCGCGCAGGCGGCCACGCGCGUCCGUUGUGAAAUCGCUCGGCUCAACUGGGCGAGGUCAGCGGAUACGGCGUGGCUGGAGCAAGCUAGGGGGCGAUGGAAUUCCCGGUGUAGUGGUGGAAUGCGUAGAUAUCUGGAGGAACACCGGUGGCGAAGGCGGCAUUCUGGACCAAUAUUGACGCUGAGGAGCGAAAGCCAGGGGAGCAAACGGG
RNAcentral lists this ribosomal RNA (253 nucleotides) under uncultured bacterium. Its description in RNAcentral is "partial 16S ribosomal RNA". It matches the Rfam family "Bacterial small subunit ribosomal RNA", at positions 524 to 776 of the family's 1533-position model. The record is from RNAcentral.